CCUACGGGUGGCAGCAGUGGGGAAUAUUGCACAAUGGGCGAAACCCUGAUGCAGCGACGCCGCGUGAGUGAAGAAGUAUUUCGGGAUGUAAAGCUCUAUCAGUAGGGAAGAAAAUGACGGUACCUGAGUGAUAAUCCCCGGAUAACUACGUGCCAGCAGCCGCGGUAAUACGGAGGGGGCAAGCGUUAUCCGGAUUUACUGGGUGUAAAGGGAGCGUAGGCGGCUGCACAAGUCUGGAGUGAAAUGCCGCGGCUUAACCCGGUAACUGCAUUGGAAACUGUGCAUCUAGAGUGCAGGAGAGGUGAGUGGAAUUCGUGGUGUAGCGGUGAAAUGCGUAGAUAUUAGGAGGAACACCAGUGGCGAAGGCGGCUUACUGGACUGUAACUGACGUUGAGGCUCGAAAGCGUGGGGAGCAAACAGGAUUAGAUACCCUGGUAGUC
RNAcentral lists this ribosomal RNA (440 nucleotides) under uncultured bacterium. RNAcentral's name for it is "partial 16S ribosomal RNA". It matches the Rfam family "Bacterial small subunit ribosomal RNA", at positions 338 to 795 of the family's 1533-position model. The record is from RNAcentral.